AAAUUGAAGAGUUUGAUCAUGGCUCAGAUUGAACGCUGGCGGCAGGCCUAACACAUGCAAGUCGAACGGUAACAGGAAGCAGCUUGCUGCUUUGCUGACGAGUGGCGGACGGGUGAGUAAUGUCUGGGAAACUGCCUGAUGGAGGGGGAUAACUACUGGAAACGGUGGCUAAUACCGCAUAACGUCGCAAGACCAAAGAGGGGGACCUUCGGGCCUCUUGCCAUCAGAUGUGCCCAGAUGGGAUUAGCUUGUUGGUGAGGUAACGGCUCACCAAGGCGACGAUCCCUAGCUGGUCUGAGAGGAUGACCAGCCACACUGGAACUGAGACACGGUCCAGACUCCUACGGGAGGCAGCAGUGGGGAAUAUUGCACAAUGGGCGCAAGCCUGAUGCAGCCAUGCCGCGUGUAUGAAGAAGGCCUUCGGGUUGUAAAGUACUUUCAGCGGGGAGGAAGGUGUUGUGGUUAAUAACCGCAGCAAUUGACGUUACCCGCAGAAGAAGCACCGGCUAACUCCGUGCCAGCAGCCGCGGUAAUACGGAGGGUGCAAGCGUUAAUCGGAAUUACUGGGCGUAAAGCGCACGCAGGCGGUCUGUCAAGUCGGAUGUGAAAUCCCCGGGCUCAACCUGGGAACUGCAUUCGAAACUGGCAGGCUUGAGUCUUGUAGAGGGGGGUAGAAUUCCAGGUGUAGCGGUGAAAUGCGUAGAGAUCUGGAGGAAUACCGGUGGCGAAGGCGGCCCCCUGGACAAAGACUGACGCUCAGGUGCGAAAGCGUGGGGAGCAAACAGGAUUAGAUACCCUGGUAGUCCACGCCGUAAACGAUGUCUACUUGGAGGUUGUGCCCUUGAGGCGUGGCUUCCGGAGCUAACGCGUUAAGUAGACCGCCUGGGGAGUACGGCCGCAAGGUUAAAACUCAAAUGAAUUGACGGGGGCCCGCACAAGCGGUGGAGCAUGUGGUUUAAUUCGAUGCAACGCGAAGAACCUUACCUGGUCUUGACAUCCACGGAAGUUUUCAGAGAUGAGAAUGUGCCUUCGGGAACCGUGAGACAGGUGCUGCAUGGCUGUCGUCAGCUCGUGUUGUGAAAUGUUGGGUUAAGUCCCGCAACGAGCGCAACCCUUAUCCUUUGUUGCCAGCGAUUAGGUCGGGAACUCAAAGGAGACUGCCAGUGAUAAACUGGAGGAAGGUGGGGAUGACGUCAAGUCAUCAUGGCCCUUACGACCAGGGCUACACACGUGCUACAAUGGCGCAUACAAAGAGAAGCGACCUCGCGAGAGCAAGCGGACCUCAUAAAGUGCGUCGUAGUCCGGAUUGGAGUCUGCAACUCGACUCCAUGAAGUCGGAAUCGCUAGUAAUCGUGGAUCAGAAUGCCACGGUGAAUACGUUCCCGGGCCUUGUACACACCGCCCGUCACACCAUGGGAGUGGGUUGCAAAAGAAGUAGGUAGCUUAACCUUCGGGAGGGCGCUUACCACUUUGUGAUUCAUGACUGGGGUGAAGUCGUAACAAGGUAACCGUAGGGGAACCUGCGGUUGGAUCACCUCCUUACCUGAAAGAAGC
RNAcentral lists this ribosomal RNA (1554 nucleotides) under Salmonella enterica. Its description in RNAcentral is "bacterial SSU rRNA". It matches the Rfam family "Bacterial small subunit ribosomal RNA". Lineage: Bacteria; Pseudomonadati; Pseudomonadota; Gammaproteobacteria; Enterobacterales; Enterobacteriaceae. The record is from RNAcentral. RNAcentral also lists the same sequence under 2 other names.